UACGAAGGGGGCUAGCGUUGCUCGGAAUCACUGGGCGUAAAGGGUGCGUAGGCGGGUUUUUAAGUCAGGGGUGAAAUCCUGGAGCUCAACUCCAGAACUGCCUUUGAUACUGAAGAUCUUGAGUCCGGGAGAGGUGAGUGGAACUGCGGGUGUAGAGGUGAAAUUCGUAGAUAUUCGCAAGAACACCAGUGGCGAAGGCGGCUCACUGGCCCGGUACUGACGCUGAGGUGCGAAAGCGUGGGGAGCAAACAGG
RNAcentral lists this ribosomal RNA (253 nucleotides) under uncultured bacterium. RNAcentral describes it as "partial 16S ribosomal RNA". It matches the Rfam family "Bacterial small subunit ribosomal RNA", at positions 524 to 776 of the family's 1533-position model. The record is from RNAcentral.